GGGGAAUAUACCGGCACCCAUCCUUCCUGCUUUGGCAGCAGCAGUGGUGGCAGAGGCUGCCUGUCGCCUGUUAGCCCUUCCCUAGGCUUGAGGGGGGGCUGGAGGGACCGCCCUGCUGGUCCCAUCACCCCACCUUCUCCUAUCUCAGGUGGAGGCUGAUCUGGGAGACAGCGCCGGUGGCAGCGCGAGUACAAGAUGGAUAGAGAGGCGGGAGCAGCUGGGCCAGGCCCGGGCCAUCAAUUAUCUGGGGAGAAUCCAUCCAUCCAAGCCCCUCCUCAAUCUACCUAAUGCUCUGACCCCAACUGCCUCCAAGCCACCUCUUCCCAGUAAAUCGCAGCACUCCUAUGUUCUGCACCCAGCCUAGGACCUGGGAAGGGCUGGUUAGGUCCAGUGACUCCUCAAAGACAGGCACUGGGGGGAGGAGAUGAGAUUUGGCAGGGUGAAGAGGGGUGCCAGGAUGUGCCCCCACCUCUGAUCUCAGACAAAUUGCUGUCUCUGCUGCUGUGAUCCUGGCAAAUCCCUCGGCUUUGGGCACUUGCACUCUCCCACUCGGCACUGGAGACUGGAGACUGGAGACGGCCAAAAUGAAAGGGAAGAGUUGGGGGAAAGUGGCCAAGCGACCUUGUUGGGGAGCUUGGACUGGGAGGGGGGAGAGAAUGAGUGUGCGAGGAAACGAGCCGAGAAAUGGGAACAUGGCAUAAAAUAAAAUAAAAUCCUCCCUCUGGCUUCCUUGAUCGCUCAAGCUCGCUCGCUCUCUCUCGCUCUCUCUCUCUCUCUCUCUCCCUCUCC
RNAcentral lists this long non-coding RNA (789 nucleotides) under Fukomys damarensis (Damara mole-rat). RNAcentral describes it as "lncRNA (ENSFDAG00000026439.1)". The record is from RNAcentral. Lineage: Eukaryota; Metazoa; Chordata; Mammalia; Rodentia; Bathyergidae.